RNAcentral lists this ribosomal RNA (465 nucleotides) under uncultured bacterium. Its description in RNAcentral is "partial 16S ribosomal RNA". It matches the Rfam family "Bacterial small subunit ribosomal RNA", at positions 338 to 795 of the family's 1533-position model. The record is from RNAcentral.
CCUACGGUGGGCAGCAGUAGGGAAUCUUCCACAAUGGGCGAAAGCCUGAUGGAGCAACGCCGCGUGGGUGAAGAAGGUCUUCGGAUCGUAAAACUCUGUUGUUAGUGAAGAAAGUGCGUGAGAGUAACUGUUCACGUUUCGACGGUACCUAACCAGAAAGCCACGGCUAACUACGUGCCAGCAGCCGCGGUAAUACGUAGGUGGCAAGCGUUAUCCGGAUUUAUUGGGCGUAAAGGGAACGCAGGCGGUCUUUUAAGUCUGAUGUGAAAGCCUUCGGCUUAACCGGAGUAGUGCAUUGGAAACUGGAAAACUUGAGUGCAGAAGAGGAGAGUGGAACUCCAUGUGUAGCGGUGAAAUGCGUAGAGAUAUGGAGGAACACCAGUGGCGAAGGCGACUCUCUGGUCUGUAACUGACGCUGAGGUUCGAAAGCGUGGGGAGCAAACAGGAUUAGAUACCCGUGUAGUC